RNAcentral lists this non-coding RNA (107 nucleotides) under Phaeomonas parva. The record is from RNAcentral. Lineage: Eukaryota; Pinguiophyceae; Pinguiochrysidales; Pinguiochrysidaceae.
CCCCUAAGAAGGGAGGCGAGGAAGCGGGCCUUCGCCCCGCUCCGGCCCGUGGGGCUAGGGUUGAGGGUUCGCGUUAGCGUUCGUUUCGUCUCCCCCGCGGCGUGCGC